This 881-nucleotide ribosomal RNA is filed under the name Laccaria bicolor. Its description in RNAcentral is "LSU rRNA". It matches the Rfam family "Eukaryotic large subunit ribosomal RNA", at positions 77 to 942 of the family's 3401-position model. Lineage: Eukaryota; Fungi; Basidiomycota; Agaricomycetes; Agaricales; Hydnangiaceae. The record is from RNAcentral.
CCCCUAGUAACUGCGAGUGAAGCGGGAAAAGCUCAAAUUUAAAAUCUGGCAGUCUUUGGCUGUCCGAGUUGUAAUCUAGAGAAGUAUUAUCCGCGCUGGACCGUGUACAAGUCUCCUGGAAUGGAGCGUCAUAGAGGGUGAGAAUCCCGUCUUUGACACGGACUGCCAGGGCUUUGUGAUAUGCUCUCAAAGAGUCGAGUUGUUUGGGAAUGCAGCUCAAAAUGGGUGGUAAAUUCCAUCUAAAGCUAAAUAUUGGCGAGAGACCGAUAGCGAACAAGUACCGUGAGGGAAAGAUGAAAAGAACUUUGGAAAGAGAGUUAAACAGUACGUGAAAUUGCUGAAAGGGAAACGCUUGAAGUCAGUCGCGUUGGCCAGGGAUCAACCUUGCUUUUUUGCUUGGCUUACUUUCUGGUCGAUGGGUCAGCAUCAAUUUUGACCGGUGGAAAAAGUUCAAAGGAAUGUGGCAUCUUCGGAUGUGUUAUAGCCUUUGUUCACAUACAUUGGUUGGGAUUGAGGAACUCAGCACGCCGCAAGGCCGGGUUUUUAACCACGUACGUGCUUAGGAUGCUGGCAUAAUGGCUUUAAUCGACCCGUCUUGAAACACGGACCAAGGAGUCUAACAUGCCUGCGAGUAUUUGGGUGAAAAACCCGAGUGCGUAAUGAAAGUGAAAGUUGAGAUCCCUGUCGUGGGGAGCAUUGACGCCCGGAUCUGACCUUUUGUGACGAUUCUGCGGUAGAGCAUGUAUGUUGGGACCCGAAAGAUGGUGAACUAUGCCUGAAUAGGGUGAAGCCAGAGGAAACUCUGGUGGAGGCUCGUAGCGAUUCUGACGUGCAAAUCGAUCGUCAAAUUUGGGUAUAGGGGCGAAAGACUAAUCGAACCU